This 253-nucleotide ribosomal RNA is filed under the name uncultured bacterium. RNAcentral describes it as "partial 16S ribosomal RNA". It matches the Rfam family "Bacterial small subunit ribosomal RNA", at positions 524 to 776 of the family's 1533-position model. The record is from RNAcentral.
UACGAAGGGUGCAAGCGUUACUCGGAAUUACUGGGCGUAAAGCGUGCGUAGGUGGUUUGUUAAGUCUGAUGUGAAAGCCCUGGGCUCAACCUGGGAAUUGCAUUGGAUACUGGCAGGCUAGAGUGCGGUAGAGGAUGGCGGAAUUCCCGGUGUAGCAGUGAAAUGCGUAGAUAUCGGGAGGAAUACCGAUGGCGAAGGCAGGUCUCUGGGCUGACACUGACGCUCAUGCACGAAAGCGUGGGGAGCAAACGGG